AUAUCAUGGUUAGGGAAAUUUGCGAGCUUUUCCUUAAAUCUUUCCCAUACUUCAUACCAAGGUUCUUCAUUGAAUUGACAAAAAUUAACAAUCUCAUCCCACAAUAU
This is a non-coding RNA of Capsicum annuum, 107 nucleotides long. Lineage: Eukaryota; Viridiplantae; Streptophyta; Magnoliopsida; Solanales; Solanaceae. The record is from Rfam.